RNAcentral lists this ribosomal RNA (817 nucleotides) under Nocardioides sp. RNAcentral describes it as "bacterial SSU rRNA". It matches the Rfam family "Bacterial small subunit ribosomal RNA", at positions 80 to 911 of the family's 1533-position model. Lineage: Bacteria; Bacillati; Actinomycetota; Actinomycetes; Propionibacteriales; Nocardioidaceae. The record is from RNAcentral.
CUAGGUGGGUCUCGAGCGGCGACGGGUGAGUAACACGUGAGUAAUCUGCCCUCCACUUUGGGAUAGCCACCGGAAACGGUGAUUAAUACCGGAUAUGACCAUUGCCUGCAUGGGUUUUGGUGGAAAGUUUUUCGGUGGGGGAUGUGCUCGCGGCCUAUCAGCUUGAUGGUGGGGUAAUGGCCUACCAUGGCUUCGACGGGUAGCCGGCCUGAGAGGGUGACCGGCCACACUGGGACUGAGACACGGCCCAGACUCCUACGGGAGGCAGCAGUGGGGAAUAUUGGACAAUGGGCGGAAGCCUGAUCCAGCAACGCCGCGUGAGGGAUGACUGCCUUCGGGUUGUAAACCUCUUUCAGCACAGACGAAGCGAAAGUGACGGUAUGUGCAGAAGAAGCACCGGCCAACUACGUGCCAGCAGCCGCGGUAAUACGUAGGGUGCGAGCGUUGUCCGGAAUUAUUGGGCGUAAAGGGCUCGUAGGCGGUUUGUCGCGUCGGGAGUGAAAACACACAGCUUAACUGUGUGCUUGCUUCCGAUACGGGCAGACUAGAGGUAUGCAGGGGAGAACGGAAUUCCUGGUGUAGCGGUGAAAUGCGCAGAUAUCAGGAGGAACACCGGUGGCGAAGGCGGUUCUCUGGGCAUUACCUGACGCUGAGGAGCGAAAGUGUGGGGAGCGAACAGGAUUAGAUACCCUGGUAGUCCACACCGUAAACGUUGGGCGCUAGGUGUGGGGCCUAUUCCAUGGGUUCCGUGCGCAGCUAACGCAUUAAGCGCCCCGCCUGGGGGAGUACGGCCGCAAGGCUAAAACUCAAAGGAAAU